UUCCAAAUAAAAUUUCUCCCUUACACAGGGGCUCUUGCCAUGAUAAGAUGCAAACAAGAGGGUCCUCACACCAAAGCUGAGCCAAUGCCAGGACCAUGACCUUGAACUUCCGAAAGUGAGUUAAAUAAACCUCUUAUUUAUAAUGUCAACCGUCCUCGGGUAUUAACUUGUAGUAAUACCAAGUGGAUUAAUGCUGUGACUGAAUGGAAGAAUUGAAAGGACAAGGAUCCUGCAUCAGGCUCAUCCACAUGGGACAGAGAUCCAUCUGUAAACUUCAGAGCAGAUUUGCCACCAGACCAAGUGCUUCUUGCUAGAAGGUCUUCAAGGGCACAGAUGUCUUCUUUACCUUUAUAUACCAGGGUGUAAGUUGCUGAGCCUGGUCUCCAAUUUGCCAUCCUCCUGCCUCAGCCUCCUGAGUCUCUGGGAAUAUAGAACUGCACCAGGACAUCCAGCAAGGGACAGUUCUUUCUAAUGUUGCUGACAAAAUUCUUACAGCGUGUAUUUCACUGAUGUUAACAAGAGAAAUGGAAGUCGAUGAUGUUUAGCAUUAACAUAUUGUGACAUAAUCUGGACUCCACUCCUCACUAAUUACAGAAUUUUAGAGCUGGGAAGUUCUUAGUGAUCACCUAAUCCAAUCUUCUCAUUGUAUAAGAAAAUGUAGUUCAAAGGUUAAGCAAUUUAACCAGGUUGUAUAAUGAAGUGUAAGCAAAAUGGUUGGAGGGGGGGCACAAUAAGGACGUUUAAUUGUAUCCUCAGCAGGUUAUAAACUUCAAACAAACCAUUUUUUCCAAUUAA
Non-coding RNA from Marmota flaviventris (yellow-bellied marmot), 795 nucleotides. Lineage: Eukaryota; Metazoa; Chordata; Mammalia; Rodentia; Sciuridae. The record is from RefSeq and is a predicted model, not a curated record.